This 256-nucleotide long non-coding RNA is filed under the name Lathyrus oleraceus (garden pea). Its description in RNAcentral is "Pisum sativum (pea) long non-coding RNA (PSAT_LNC041338)". Lineage: Eukaryota; Viridiplantae; Streptophyta; Magnoliopsida; Fabales; Fabaceae. The record is from RNAcentral.
UCUACUAUUGUUAAGCUCAUUAAACAAAAUCCUUUGAGCAUUUCAAGGAUACCCCUUUUCAUAGAAAGGAAGUUACUAUCACAUUGGAUGAAGUCCAAACGUCUCUGGGUCCAAGGAGCUUUCAAUGAUAAAAUAUUUAAAGGUUAGCUCAAAGGCUUGAGUGUGUCAAGAGAAAUGAGUGAUAGUAGAGGAAACCAAAAUGGUAAAAUCCAAUUCAGAGUAAAAAACCUAUAUUUUUGAUAACUCGAAGUUUAAA